UACGUAGGGUGCGAGCGUUGUCCGGAAUCAUUGGGCGUAAAGAGCGCGUAGGCGGCCCUGUAAGUCCGCUGUGAAAGUCAAGGGCUCAACCCUUGGAUGCCGGUGGAUACUGCAGGGCUAGAGUCCGGAAGAGGCGAGUGGAAUUCCUGGUGUAGCGGUGAAAUGCAUAGAUACCAUCCAGAACCCCGAUUGCGAAGGCAGCUGCCUAGACUGUAACUGACGCUGAGGCACGAAAGCGUGGGGAGCGAACAGG
RNAcentral lists this ribosomal RNA (253 nucleotides) under uncultured bacterium. RNAcentral's name for it is "partial 16S ribosomal RNA". It matches the Rfam family "Bacterial small subunit ribosomal RNA", at positions 524 to 776 of the family's 1533-position model. The record is from RNAcentral.